GUCCUCUCCCUUUAUUCUUUACUUUAUAAUGAUGAGGAAGAUGUUCGAUGUUUCCAUAAGUUUUUUUUUAUUUUUUUUAUUUCUUUUGUUGUUCAUACAGUGCAGUUUGUCUUGUUGUUGGUCUUGGAGGUACUUCAUGGAGUUAGUAGUAGACAUCUUUUUAACUUAUCAAGCGACUCCUUAAACUAGUAAUGUAACUUUAAAAUCUUUUGUCUUUUC
Non-coding RNA from Pelobates cultripes (western spadefoot toad), 219 nucleotides. The record is from the annotation of a GenBank genome assembly. NCBI's taxonomy places the organism in Eukaryota, Metazoa, Chordata, Amphibia, Anura, Pelobatidae.